Molecule: long non-coding RNA, 2960 nt
Organism: Mastomys coucha (southern multimammate mouse)
Lineage: Eukaryota; Metazoa; Chordata; Mammalia; Rodentia; Muridae
Exons: 5
Source: RefSeq, a predicted model, not a curated record
CUCUCUCUCUCUCUCUCUCUCUCUCUCUCUCUCUCUCUCUCUCUCUCUCUCUCUCUCUCUCUUCUCUCUCUCUCCCUCUCUUCCUCUCCCUUGCGGGCAGAGAAGAAGCCCACGCGCGCACGCGGUGAUGUCUUCCUGGUGAUAACUGGCCCAGGGGUCGUUGGCAGCAGAGGACCCCAAGAUGGAAGACCCGAAGGAUGGAAGGAAUCUACUUCAGAGCUGUCACUUAUAGGAAGGCAAGCUGUCUGACCGAGACCACGUGUUCCUGUCACAGCCUUCCAUGAGCCAACCUCAGGAUAAAUCUCGGGCUGACCACACGCAUCUGAAGAUCUGCGACAGUCUUUGGGACUUGGACUUCCCGAAGCCAAGGACUAGACAGCAGAGUCAUUGACAAGCCUCGCUUCUGAGCUGUGCUCUGGAUCUUAGAGCUGGUCCUGUCUCACCCUGGGUCUCAUGGCUGCAACCAGCAUUCCAACUGCAGCCUUUUCAAGGGUCCGUACCAGUUCAUGCACCAGGUUAUCCCCCUGCCGUGAUUCCAUGAUUCUCAGAGGAGGCUGGGAGGAGCCCUGAGCUGGAAUCAGAUGCAGAUUGUGGCCUGGGCUCCAAUUACACUUUGAGUCAUAGCUCCUGAUCCUCGCCCCCCCCCCACAGGACCUCCCCCACUGCUGUGUGCCCACUUGACUCCCAGAAGGCAUCAGCCAUACGUGGUGGGAAAACACAUGUGCUGCCACACGGGCCAGGCUUGGUCUUAUGAGCCCCAAGCUUUCCAUGUGAUCCCUAUGGUGCAUGACUGAAAAAGCUGCUCAACUUUGUGAGCCUUAGUUUCCAUACGGUAAAAUGGGAAUAUUAGCACUUACCUUGAAGGCCUGUGGGGGGAAUCGCAUGAUGACUUGCAAAGCCUGGCAGGUCUGAGUGAUACUCGGCGUAUUUUAAGGAAUUUUAAGCCUUUUCUUUCAUUGCUGGAGUUCUUACUGAUUCUUCAUGCUUUCAUUUCCCCCUCCUUACCUCAAGGCCAUGCGCUUCUUUCCUAACCUGUCAUGGGCAGGUGCUGUUGAAGGCCUUCCUGCCAGGCUCAGCUCACCUGAAUUCACUAGCAGCUACUGUCUACAGUCAACAUCUUCCCAGGAGCUUCAGUCUUCGGGACCUGGGUCUUGCUGCCGCUUUGUUUGAGGAUGUUCCAAGGGACUUGGAAAGCUCAGAGUUUGUGCCCUAUCCACCAAUAGGAAGCUGCUCCCUGCCCCCUAAGGCCUCUGCUUUAGCUGUCCGAUGGCUCUUUUGUCUUCACACCAAAGCACUUCCUCCCAACUCCAUCACUUCCUGCCAAGGGACAGCCCCAGUGUGGACCUGAUGGUCUUCCUUGGCACUCCCAUCCCAGCCUUCAGUGACUGAAGAAGCUGCGAGCUAGGCCUGGGCAGAGGAGGCCUUUAUCACACCAACAACACAUCUGUCGGAUGGGUGGGUGGGUAUGCACUGAAUGAAUGAGCGCUGUCAUUCCAUCUAUAUCUAUGAGUUACACUUGGAAGUUUCCACUGAGCACGGCCCAGUGCAGCCUCUUAAACACCGUGCAUGGGUGCCUGCUACUUGCCCAGGACCCCCGCUUGCAAUCAGCCAAGCGUGUGUUGCAUGUUUGACAAGUUGGAUGCGGAGUGGAGAAACUCGAAUGCUUUCAUCUAUUUACUUUUACCACAUGCCAUAGAAAUUAAAAAUACAUUGUACCACAAGUGCUGUAUUUAGUGUCUCCCUUUAAUUACAUUCAAGUGUGUUGCUAAAUAGUCUUGAGGAAACCGUAAUGACCAGCUGUUCUACCCUUUCCCAUAUGUCAGAGCUGGUGUCUGAAAUCACAUUCUGGGACAGGAAGGUUGUAUAAUUAGACAGUGUACAGUUAACACUUCUAGAUUUCCCCCCUUAAACUGUGGGGCCUUUACACUAACAUAUUGUACGAUUCUGCCAGUUUGGCACAAUACAAUUAAAUGACGUGCCAAAGAGAGAGGAGAGUCUAUCAGCACCAUCAGUCGCACGAUGACGGCCUAAGUGUGUGCACUAUGCAAGAUUCAGUGUGCUCAGCUGACAAAUACACUUAGGAAAGAGGACUUUAAAUUUUUAAUAUCCCCUCAUAGUGCCAUUUAUCUCGUUAGAAUUAGAUGUGAAAGUAGCUUGUUUUUAUGGGUCCUUUCAAACAAAGAGGUAUCACCCCAAAACACAGCAACCAUUUAAGAAGCCAGAAUGGAACCGAAAGUCGCCAGAGUUAGAUGGGAAGACGACCUUUCCUAUGGAUUCUUGUGGGGGACGUGGGAUUCUUUUGCUACUGCCAAACUGGAUGUGGAAGAGACGAAACGACCGAAUGAUAUAAAGAGCAGACGGUGGGAAGUAAGCUGCCGCUCCUGCCAGUCGCUGCCUUCAGCCUGGGGAGUCCUCUCCAACCACAGUGACAUUUCACCUGAUCAAGUUCAGCGAGCUCUUUGAUUUUUAAAAAUACAGACAGACAUCGAAAUAGAAAAAUAAAGUAAAGAGAUGCAUUCUUUACGCGUUCCUCUUCCAAGGAAAAUGCCCUUGAUGCUUGUCCUAUGCCAUGAGUCAAAAAUGCAGCUCGGCUUUCACAUCAAUUUGUCCUCAAGAAUACAGUCAACUCAUGGCCAAGGUUUUCUUCAGCCCUAAAAUAACAAUCGCUUUUUUAAAAGCCUGCGAGAGGGAGCAAUGCUCUCCCGAGAAGACCGAUUUGCUGCAUUUUGUCUGUACAUUUGAAUCUCCGGUGACUUAUUUAGAUGUAAGCGCUGACAGCUGUAAUCGUUUUAAAUCUUGCUUUGUGUCCUGAGUUAGAAUGGUGUUCAAUUGAUAUUCAGAAUAAUGGCAGCGGUGUGCUUCUUUGAAAAGGACCUGAGCACACUCCAGUGCUUUGGGAAACAGACUCGCCAGAGGGUUAAUCCACAUUUAGAACUUGCAUUAAUAAAAACCCUACCUUG